This is a long non-coding RNA of Capra hircus (goat), 840 nucleotides long. RefSeq lists it as uncharacterized. NCBI's taxonomy places the organism in Eukaryota, Metazoa, Chordata, Mammalia, Artiodactyla, Bovidae. The transcript is spliced from 4 exons. The record is from RefSeq and is a predicted model, not a curated record.
GGCGGUCCCCGAUAGCUGCGUCGUCCACUGUUAGACUCCUAAAUGCAUUUUUGGCAAAGGGAAGAGUGUGCCCUGAAGGGCCAUCAAGAACCAGAGGGGAUGCUCAAGUCUGAGGGACCCCUCUGCCCUCCAGGAGCACUUCCCUUCUGGUCAGGAAGGGGUACGGGACCAGUACCGACCAGCGUUAUCAAUCCUGGUUCCUGCUCAGGCCUCAGCCAAGGAGCCUCAUCUGGGUGAUACCUCAGGGUUUAGGUGGUUGUGGGGGCAUGAAAGCUCGUCUUGCCUACCACCUUCUCUAGGACAGCCUCUGAAUUCUAGUGACUGAGAACCUGUCAUUUUGCUGUUCUGAGCCCUGGAGCCACAGAGAUCAAGUCCGGUCCAGUGUUCACUGGACAGUCCUUGGGCUGUGUGAGGAGUUAGGAUGCCUUGCCCACCUGACUUUUCAACUUCAGGACUUUACUAGGGGAUUUGAAGUCAUGGUAUUCUCCUCAGCUACUUCUGUUAUGCCCCUCCUGCUUGAUGGAUGGAACCAUCAGAUCCCCACACUGUGCAGGCAAAGCCAGUCCCCAGCCAUGAAACACGACACCUCUGAAGAUUUUGACUGGAGGACUGUUACCCAUUAACCCAGGUCCUUUCAAUAUGAUCGGAUGGUCGUCAGAGUGGCCCCGCGAAGCACGAAAAGAACCUGUCGUCUUUCCCGCCGCCAGAUUCCAGGGCGAAAAACAGGAGCCCCUUCCCCGCCCUGCUAUAGGCAGGGGUAUCGAGUGGGCCCAGCCCCAAAGGCGCUCCUUCCCCGGGAUCGACAGCUGCCGCCAGCCAGUUCUCCCGGGACGAGAGACC